RNAcentral lists this non-coding RNA (46 nucleotides) under Trichobilharzia regenti. The record is from RNAcentral. Lineage: Eukaryota; Metazoa; Platyhelminthes; Trematoda; Strigeidida; Schistosomatidae.
AUACUGCUGAAGAGUCCCAAACUAGGACGAAACAGCUGUCCAGUGU